RNAcentral lists this ribosomal RNA (254 nucleotides) under uncultured bacterium. RNAcentral's name for it is "partial small subunit ribosomal RNA". It matches the Rfam family "Bacterial small subunit ribosomal RNA", at positions 26 to 285 of the family's 1533-position model. The record is from RNAcentral.
AGGACGAACGCUGGCGGCGUGCUUAACACAUGCAAGUCGAGCGGAAAGGCCCUUCGGGGUACUCGAGCGGCGAACGGGUGAGUAACACGUGAGCAACCUGCCCCUAGCUUCGGGAUAGUUCCGGGAAACCGGAAUUAAUACCGAAUAUGACCAUGGACGACAUCAGCCAUGGUGGAAAGUUUUUCGGCUAGGGAUGGACUCGCGGCCUAUCAGCUAGUUGGUGAGGUAACGGCCCACCAAGGCGACGACGGGUA